Molecule: long non-coding RNA, 489 nt
Organism: Sinocyclocheilus grahami
Lineage: Eukaryota; Metazoa; Chordata; Actinopteri; Cypriniformes; Cyprinidae
Exons: 4
Source: RefSeq, a predicted model, not a curated record
UUGAUUUCCCCAGGUUCAUUCAGAAGAGUGCGACGUUAUAUUUCGAUUGAAAGGAAUCUUGGAGUUUGCUUGCCAGCUCGACAACCCAAAUGGUGCACAAAGUCAAGGCACGAUAUCAAAAAGUUUCCAGGGUCUCCAAUCCAAAGUAUCAUCCAAAAAUAUUGUUUUAACUGUCUGUAACAGUCCAGUAUUAAUAUGGCCUAACACUGGUUUCCAGUCAAACGUGGAAAGCUUGACAAAAGCAUCAUCAUGUGGAGAUAUUCUGCAGUAUAUAGAGUUAGAUGAUAGUGGGACCAAGAAGUCAUCAAAAAAGAAAGAUAAGAAAAAAUCUGGACCUACUGUAGUGAAUAUGAAGCUGUUGUUUGAGGUCACAGAACCUGCUGGGAAUGAAGCUCCUAGUCUCAUCAGAGUGAGCACACAGCAGCAUUGUGUGAAGAUGCCACUGCCUUUAGACUGUGUUCUGUCUGUGACCACUGAUGAGAGCCUGGC